AACUGUCAAGGUGAAAAGCGAAUACAUUUUGAACUGCGGCGUUGUCAUUGAAAAGCACUAUGCGAAAAGCAAUUGAGCAAUUUGCACAGCAAUUAGAGAUGCGACUCUUGUCGAUAGUAACGCAGUCGUAACGGCUGCAACUGUUUGCCCAUAACUAACUAAAACCGCUGACGCCACGCUAGUAAAAAUCGUCUAGACAGGAGAUUUAGUGUUAUGUUGCGACUAAUCUGGCUUGUUAUGAGUUUAUUUAUGACUGCGAAAUAUAUAUUGAUUUAUUCUUGCACCAAAAAUUCACACAUUGUUGGCGACCUUGAAAAAUGGCGCUAAUUGAACGCUAAUAAGAAGAAGCAGCAGCAGCGACAGCAUAUGAAAAGUGUGAGAGCGAGAUAGUUGUAAAGAGAGUGCGUUAUUUUUAUGAGAGAGCAUGCUAACCAAAUGUGCUGUUAUUUGUGAUGAUGUUAUGCGGAUGCCACCAACAGAGUUGGCUCAUUGGCUCAGAUUGGGUGUGAAUUAAGCGGCAGCAUUCAAUGGGAAACUGGAAAACCCGUUUGGUUAUGGUCAGUGAAAUGAAUGCUUGAAAGCAAAAAUUCAACACUCAAACGAGAUUAUCAUCGACAAUAGCCACAAGCGAACACACACACAUACGUAUACAUGUAAGCUUCGUUGACUUACAAUGCUGCAUAAUUGGGUCAAGAGAAGCAACAGCAAGUGAAAUACAAGAAAACAACGCAGACUUUUUAUCGCUUGCAUUGCAUUAAUCAUUAAUCGUCGCAUUGCAGAAGUGAAAGCAGAGUUUGUCGCCUAAGUCUUUCGAUUGAGUAAGUGUAAGUAUGAAUGCUUGUAUACUAACCGC
Drosophila sulfurigaster albostrigata is the source of this 853-nucleotide long non-coding RNA. RefSeq lists it as uncharacterized. The transcript is spliced from 3 exons. NCBI's taxonomy places the organism in Eukaryota, Metazoa, Arthropoda, Insecta, Diptera, Drosophilidae. The record is from RefSeq and is a predicted model, not a curated record.